Molecule: long non-coding RNA, 2831 nt
Filed under: Trifolium pratense (red clover)
Lineage: Eukaryota; Viridiplantae; Streptophyta; Magnoliopsida; Fabales; Fabaceae
Description: long non-coding RNA (TPRA_LNC001287)
Source: RNAcentral
UACAAUACAAGACUUUAGUCCUAUAUAGAGAAUUAAGAAAUAAAUUAAUAUCUAAAAACUAAUCCUAAGAGACAAUCUAAAAUUAUAAACAAAUCAUAGGAAAUAAAAUAUGAUAUUCUUACACAAUAUAAAAGAUAUUACAAGCAAUUUAUAAUAUUCUGACACUUCCCCUCAAGCUAAAGCUUACUAAGUUUCAAGCUUGUUACAAAUAUACCCUUGAAAAUAGAAAACAUAAAAAUAGAGGCACCAACCUGAGGUACAUGAUUCGUAGAAAUCUUCAAUCUCUGGUCUUCUUCUAGCAUACCAUGACACUCACUCCAAAAGAAUCAAGGUUCAAUAACCACAAUUUGGGAACAAAACAGAAAACAAGUUUAACCAUUAAGUAGAAGAAACUACUCAAAGCUUAAACAAUUAACGGAAGCAAAAAUGUUUAACCACUACAUAAGACAGAAGCUACCAAAGUUUAAGCAUCAAAAGCCGAAGGUAAAGGAUGAGCCUUAACCACUUAAGACAGAAGAAAAAAAUAUAAAACAUAACAAUAAGAAAACCCAAACUGCAACGAUAUUAGGCUAGUGCCCACUCCAGUAGCUGAAACUACUCAAGCAUAACCACUUAAAAGAAGCAAAAAUGUGUAACCAUUACAAUAGACAGAAGCUACCAAAGUUUAACCAUCAAAAGACGAAGGUAAAAGAUGAGCCUUAACCUCGUAAGACAGAAGCAAAAAAAUAUAAAACCAUAACAAUAAGAAAACCCAAACUGCAACGGUAUUAGGUUAGUGCCCACUCUGGUAGCUGAAGCCUUAAUUGAAAGGUGUCUCCAUUUCAUACAAAACCACAAGAAUAUUGGACCGGUUCUCACUCUGGCAGCUGAAAACAAUAUUGAGUCAACACUCUCACUUUGGCGGCUAAAACUCUAAUUAUAAUGGAUUAUCGAGGCACAGCUUCAAUAGAAGCAGUAUAUGCAGUGAUAUUUUACCAAAGGCAGCAAAAAUAUUUGAGGCACACAAACUAGUAGGAUGUGCAACAAAUUACAGAUGCUCACAAAAAAGUCGCAAAUGCAGAAACAACCCAUAAGCACUAACAACAUCGAGCAAAACACCAAAACACAAGACGACGAGCCACAAAACCAUAUAGGGCAGUAGAAAAUUAAGACCCAAUAGCCAAAAAACAAUACCGUAACAGAAAGAGGAAUGGCCGGAGAGAACAAUGAAGUCGCUUUUGUAAACGACAACUUGUAUGGCAGUGUGUGAUCUUCACGCACCGGCAAGAGUUGGUAGAUGUAAUGGCACAUGUGUGUGUGUCAUGGCUGUUGCAUUAGAAGCAUCGGGGUUUUGUAUAUCAGCAAAUUCCAGUCUUGGUGGUGGUGGUUAUGCCGAAAAAGGUUGUUGGAAAUUUUUUCCAGAGACAACGUCGGUGGGUGGCUGGCAGUAGCAACAAUGGCCAGAAGUGACAGCAGAACACUUGUGAGAUUAGAUGGCUACAAGAAAACUAGAGAAAAAUGUUAUUUUAUUUUUAAGUGGAAUCAACAAAGAUCUUUCUCGUUAAAUUAAAUAUGCAGGAAAGCAACUCUACCCAUCAUCUUAUUUUAUUUUUAAGUGAUAAAAAAAAAACUAAUUAUCUGCAUUGAUAAAUUAUAUAUUUCGCAUAGCCUAUAGUUCUGGGUCAUCGUUCACGAUACCAUGUGGGUAAUAUAUAAAACAAAGCAGAAAGAUAGCAAUGAAGCCCAAAUAUUGGUAAAAGAGAAGAAAGAAAUGGAAUAUAACCUGUUAGUUUUAACUUUUAAAGAAUCCUAAAAUGCUCAACUCGCAGCCAUGACCAGUCUACUUGACCUUCAAAUCCUCUCCUGUUGAAGUCUCUCCUCUAUCUCGCAAAAAUGGAAACAAAAAGCAGAUAUGUUAAGGAUACUCAAAGCGAAAUCCAGUGUCAUGCAUACUGUAAAGAAUUUAAAGAGCACCAAACCCCUGAUAGGGUUAAACUCAUGAUCUAAGAAGCUAGGCUUUUGGUUGAAAUGACAAAGUAAUAUAAUGAGAGAUACAAAUUGUCUAGUAAUGCAUCGUCCUAUAAAUGAUUUAAAUUAUAAAAUUAGAUAUCUCUAAUACAGUGCCCAAAAUCAGAGUUUAACAUUUACACAAAGCACAUGUGACAUAAUCACUUUGCCUUGCGCUAAAAAUUAAAUAGAGAUAGAAGUAAUAAACUAUUGGUUACUUAAAAAAUGAUGAAGAAGAAAAUUUGUAGAGAUUUUUUCCUUGUUUGCGUGAUCCUACCUCUCUGUCUAAUUCCAACUUUUUGUCGUUCUAUCCGGCUACUAAUCAUCCAUGUAAUAGGAAUUCGGAAUCAUUAUUCAACGUACAUUGGACUUCUCUCAUAAAAAAAUGAUUCCAACUUAGUUUAAUGUUCUUCCUCUCAAUCUAUUUAUCAAUGUUCCUAACACUCCACCUGAUGACAUGUCGAUAAGCUGUUUUCAACUUAUUUUCAUAAGCUCUCCAUGAUAUAUAGCUUAUGAAAACAGCUUAUAACUUGUACAAAUAUAGUUUCACUUGAUUUUAUCUUUUGUUAUAGAAAUAGCUUACACAUAAGCUGUUUGAAGAAAGUCGAAUGCAAUUGCACAUAUAAUAUUUCAAAGAAAAUGAAAGAGUCACUUAACAAAUUAUUGAUCUACUGUUCAAACAAGUAAUAUAAUAGACAAAGAAAAGGUGAAAAGUUUAUGAAUGUACCAAGCUGCGUGCGAAUUGAUGACACCGAUAGAACAAUUUGCGAACUUCUGAGAAAGAACCCUAAACCCCAGACCAAAGUGGUUCUGAAUUUGAAAUUCUAAGCCACGUUGCGUUUUGU